GCUGAAGAACGCAGCGAAAUGCGAUAAGUAAUGUGAAUUGCAGAAUUCAGUGAAUCAUCGUAUCUUUGAACGCACAUUGCGCCCGCCAGUAUUCUGGCGGGCAUGCCUGUUCGAGCGUCAUUACAACCCUCAGGCCCCCGGGCCUGGCGUUGGGGAUCGGCGGAGCCCCCCGUGGGCACACGCCGUCCCCCAAAUGCAGUGGCGGUCCCGCCGCAGCUUCCAUCGCGUAGUAGCUAACACCUCGCGACUGGAGAGCGGCGCGGCCACGCCGUAAAACACCCAACUCUUCUGAAGUUGACCUCGAAUCAGGUAGGAAUACCCGCUGAACUUAAGCAUAUCAAUAAGCGGAGGA
Molecule: unclassified non-coding RNA, 352 nt
Filed under: soil metagenome
Description: partial contains 5.8S ribosomal RNA, internal transcribed spacer 2, and large subunit ribosomal RNA
Rfam family: 5.8S ribosomal RNA (bases 3-120)
Source: RNAcentral